GACAGAGGAUGCAAGCGUUACUCGGAAUUACUGGGCGUAAAGCGUGCGUAGGUGGUUCGUUAAGUCUGAUGUGAAAGCCCUGGGCUCAACCUGGGAAUGGCAUUGGAAACUGGCGACCUAGAGUGCGGUAGAGGGUAGUGGAAUUCCCGGUGUAGCAGUGAAAUGCGUAGAGAUCGGGAGGAACAUCCGUGGCGAAGGCGACUACCUGGACCAGCACUGACACUGAGGCACGAAAGCGUGGGGAGCAAACAGG
RNAcentral lists this ribosomal RNA (253 nucleotides) under uncultured bacterium. Its description in RNAcentral is "partial 16S ribosomal RNA". It matches the Rfam family "Bacterial small subunit ribosomal RNA", at positions 524 to 776 of the family's 1533-position model. The record is from RNAcentral.